Molecule: ribosomal RNA, 486 nt
Filed under: uncultured bacterium
Lineage: Bacteria
Description: bacterial SSU rRNA
Rfam family: Bacterial small subunit ribosomal RNA
Source: RNAcentral
AUUGAACGCUGGCGGCAUGCCUUACACAUGCAAGUCGAACGGCAGCACGGGAGCAAUCCUGGUGGCGAGUGGCGAACGGGUGAGUAAUAUAUCGGAACGUGCCCAAUCGUGGGGGAUAACGCAGCGAAAGCUGUGCUAAUACCGCAUACGAUCUACGGAUGAAAGCGGGGGAUUCGCAAGAACCUCGCGCGAAUGGAGCGGCCGAUAUCAGAUUAGCUAGUUGGUGGGGUAAAAGCUCACCAAGGCGACGAUCUGUAGCUGGUCUGAGAGGACGACCAGCCACACUGGGACUGAGACACGGCCCAGACUCCUACGGGAGGCAGCAGUGGGGAAUUUUGGACAAUGGGCGCAAGCCUGAUCCAGCAAUGCCGCGUGCAGGAAGAAGGCCUUCGGGUUGUAAACUGCUUUUGUACGGAACGAAAAGGUCUGGGUUAAUACCCUGGGCUCAUGACGGUACCGUAAGAAUAAGCACCGGCUAACUACGUG